This 597-nucleotide long non-coding RNA is filed under the name Eutrema salsugineum. RNAcentral's name for it is "long non-coding RNA (ESAL_LNC002108)". The record is from RNAcentral. Lineage: Eukaryota; Viridiplantae; Streptophyta; Magnoliopsida; Brassicales; Brassicaceae.
GAAAACUUCUGCAUCUAACGAAGAUGAAAUCCGGAGAAGGAGACUAUUUUGACAUUAGAGUUAUAAACACCGUUGAUAGUUUUUCUUUUUCAAAUCAAACCCAGAUCCAUAGAAACCAUUAGAAAUUCGAAAAAACAAAUCAAAAUCCAGAAAAGGAAGAAUGAAGAGAAAAACCCAAAUCAGUGGAAAAUUCCGAUGGUCAGCGUAUCCGGAAAAUGGAAAAGCUCAGAGAGGCAAACAAAAAGUAAAACGGAGAAGACGAAGAAGAAUAGGAAGAGGAGGAAGAAGAGGGAGAAGAGAAGAGAGAAACCUCAUCAUUAUACCCAAGUGAAAACUCGAUUCGAAUUUUGCAAUGGUAUGUUUUCCGAUUCCCGAUCUGUGAUUAUUUUCAAAAAUCUAGGAUUCGUUUAAUUUUCUCCACACCAAACUUUUUCCCGAUUGAAACACAGCCUCCUCGUGCUUCCACUUUCUCGUGCCGAUCACCAGAGAAGCAAGGAAAGAAAAUGAAAAGAAACGAUGACGAAAAUAUCUAUGUAUAGAGAGAGAAAGAGAGAGGAAGAAUAAGAAGAAGAGAAGAAACGGAGGCUCUGCGUUAAC